GACGAACGCUGGCGGCGUGCCUAACACAUGCAAGUCAACUUGACUGAAGGAGCAAUCUGACAGUAGAGUGGCGCAAGGGUGCGUAACGCGUAAGUAACUUGCCCCAAGGUAAGGAAUAACGUCGAGAAAUCGGCGCUAAUACCUCAUAAUGCAGCGGAUCCGCAUGGAUAUGUUGUUAAAGGUUUACCGCCUUGGGAUAGGCUUGCGUCUGAUUAGCUAGUUGGUGUGGUAACGGCACACCAAGGCUACGAUCAGUAACUGGUCUGAGAGGAUGAUCAGUCACACUGGAACUGAGACACGGUCCAGACUCCUACGGGAGGCAGCAGUGAGGAAUAUUGGGCAAUGCUCGAAAGAGUGACCCAGCAACGCCGCGUGGAGGAUGAAGGUAUUCUAUAUCGUAAACUCCUGUGAGAGCAGACGAAGACAGAUAUAAUCUGGAUGACUGUAUGCUCAGAGGAAAGCCCCGGCUAACUACG
This 476-nucleotide ribosomal RNA is filed under the name uncultured bacterium. Its description in RNAcentral is "bacterial SSU rRNA". It matches the Rfam family "Bacterial small subunit ribosomal RNA", at positions 28 to 505 of the family's 1533-position model. The record is from RNAcentral.